Molecule: ribosomal RNA, 261 nt
Filed under: uncultured prokaryote
Description: partial 16S ribosomal RNA
Rfam family: Bacterial small subunit ribosomal RNA
Source: RNAcentral
UACGUAGGUGGCGAGCGUUAUCCGGAAUUAUUGGGCGUAAAGAGCGCGCAGGUGGUUGAUUAAGUCUGAUGUGAAAGCCCACGGCUUAACCGUGGAGGGUCAUUGGAAACUGGUCGACUUGAGUGCAGAAGAGGGAAGUGGAAUUCCAUGUGUAGCGGUGAAAUGCGUAGAUAUUAGGAGGAACACCAGUAGCGAAGGCGGCUCUCUGGACUGUAACUGACGCUGAGGCACGAAAGCGUGGGGAGCAAACAGGAUUAGAUA